CAUGAAAAGCUUAGACCCAGGCAAGAACUCCUGGUCAUGGACUAAAUGAUAGAGAACUCAAUACCCAAAGUGGCUGCUGCUGAUAUCAUGAUCCACAGUCCCAGGGAGGAAAUGAACGCUUCUUCAUAUUUCUGGGUCUCCUCCUGAGGUGAGCCUGGGCUCUGUCUGAGACCUUUUCCUGGAGAGAACACAAAAGGAAUCACACGAGAUUGUGUUGGGAUACAUCGUGAGAAGGAAAUAGCCGUGGAGGAACUGCUUCCUGUGGAAUGCUCGCUGGCUAGGUAUCCAGGAAUGCGGGUCAGUGGCGGCCGAUGUUACAGUUCUUUGACCUUGAAGAGCUGCCUACUCAAGGCAGGGAGAGAAGGGGCACACACUCGAAGGUGUUCCGUGUUCUAAGAAGCAUGGAAGGAAGAAAUGAUAGUUGGAAACCUGGGCUUUCUCAGGGGAAAAGGACUUGAAUCAGACUUCAAAGGAAAUGAACAAAUCAUUAUUUGGAAUGAAAUUAUGUAUUAUUGAAUGAGCCUUGAAGCAGCUGUUCAUUGGCCAGGGCUUGGGAGAUUUUAUUUACUGAGAAUGUUGAAAUAAAAUUUAUUAUAACAAGAA
RNAcentral lists this small RNA (603 nucleotides) under Rattus norvegicus (Norway rat). RNAcentral describes it as "uncharacterized LOC108348219". The record is from RNAcentral. Lineage: Eukaryota; Metazoa; Chordata; Mammalia; Rodentia; Muridae.